Rhopalosiphum maidis (corn leaf aphid) is the source of this 764-nucleotide long non-coding RNA. RefSeq lists it as uncharacterized. The record is from RefSeq and is a predicted model, not a curated record. NCBI's taxonomy places the organism in Eukaryota, Metazoa, Arthropoda, Insecta, Hemiptera, Aphididae. The transcript has 6 exons.
AGCAGAUCACUCAAGGCAUGCGCAGACAAUAAUUCACAUUUCUACCACAUUGGAGAGUACAAAAUCACAUGUUGAAUAUUGACCGGAAGACACUGACAAUCAGAAUGGUUUUAUGCAAUAUUGCAUUAGAGCAGAUCACUCAAGGCAUGCGCAGACAAUAAUUCACAUUUCUACCACAUUGGAGAGUACAAAAUCACAUGUUGAAUAUUGACUAGAAGACACUGACAAUAAGAAUGGUUUUAUACAAUAUGGCAUUAGAGCAGAUCACUCAAGGCAUGCGCAGACAAUAAUUCACAUUUCUACCACAUUGGAGAGUACAAAAUCACAUGUUGAAUAUUGACCGGAAGACACUGACAAUCAGAAUGGUUUUAUGCAAUAUUGCAUUAGAGCAGAUCACUCAAGGCAUGCGCAGACAAUAAUUCACAUUUCUACCACAUUGGAGAGUACAAAAUCACAUGUUGAAUAUUGACUAGAAGACACUGACAAUAAGAAUGGUUUUAUACAAUAUGGCAUUAGAGCAGAUCACUCAAGGCAUGCGCAGACAAUAAUUCACAUUUCUACCACAUUGGAGAGUACAAAAUCACAUGUUGAAUAUUGACCGGAAGACACUGACAAUCAGAAUGGUUUUAUGCAAUAUUGCAUUAGAGCAGAUCACUCAAGGCAUGCGCAGACAAUAAUUCACAUUUCUACCACAUUGGAGAGUACAAAAUCACAUGUUGAAUAUUGACUAGAAGACACUGACAAUAAGAAUGGUUUUAUACAAU